This 496-nucleotide ribosomal RNA is filed under the name uncultured bacterium. RNAcentral's name for it is "partial 16S ribosomal RNA". It matches the Rfam family "Bacterial small subunit ribosomal RNA", at positions 29 to 507 of the family's 1533-position model. The record is from RNAcentral.
AUGAACGCUGGCGGCGUGCCUAAUACAUUCAAGUCGAGCGAACAGACGAGGAUCUUUCUCCUCUUACUUUAUCGGCGUACGGUUUAGUAACACGUUGUUAACCUACCUAUAAUUCUUGGUUUACUUCGGUAAACCGUAGCUACUACCGGCUAAUAUAUUUAACCUCCUUGUUCCAUAGUUACAUUCGGUUUUUCUUUCACUUAUAUAUUGAUCCGCGCCGCAUUAGCUAGUUGGGAAGGUAACGGCUUACCAAGGCAACGAUGCGUAGCCGACCUGAGAGGGUGAUCGGCCAAACUGGAACGGAGACACGGUCCAGACGCCUACGGGAGGAAGCAGUAGGGAAUCGUACGCAAUGGGCGAAAGCAUGACGGAGCAAAGCCGCGUGAGUGAUGAAGGUCUUCGGAUCGUAAAACGCUGUUAUUAGGGAAGAAAAAAUGUGUAAGUAAAUAUGCACGUAUUGACGGUACCUAAUAAGAAAGCAACGGCUAACUACGUG